AGCGAACGCUGGCGGCAGGCCUAACACAUGCAAGUCGAACGAAGUCUUCGGACUUAGUGGCGGACGGGUGAGUAACACGUGGGAACGUGCCUUUAGGUUCGGAAUAACUCAGGGAAACUUGUGCUAAUACCGAAUGUGCCCUUCGGGGGAAAGAUUUAUCGGCUUUAGAGCGGCCCGCGUCUGAUUAGCUAGUUGGUGAGGUAAAGGCUCACCACGGCGACGACCAGUAGCUGGUAUGAGAGGAUGAUCAGCCACAUUGGGACUGAGACACGGCCCAAACUCCUGCGGGAGGCAGCAGUGGGGAAGUUUGCGCAAUGGGCGAAAGCCUGACGCAGCCAUGCCGCGUGAAUGAUGAAGGUCUUAGGAUUGUAAAAUUCUUUCACCGGGGACGAUAAUGACGGUACCCGGAGAAGAAGCCCCGGCUAACUUCGUGCCAGCCGCCGCCGUAA
This 449-nucleotide ribosomal RNA is filed under the name uncultured bacterium. RNAcentral's name for it is "partial 16S ribosomal RNA". It matches the Rfam family "Bacterial small subunit ribosomal RNA", at positions 29 to 523 of the family's 1533-position model. The record is from RNAcentral.